This 641-nucleotide long non-coding RNA is filed under the name Bos indicus x Bos taurus (hybrid cattle). RNAcentral's name for it is "lncRNA (ENSBIXG00005016749.1)". The record is from RNAcentral. Lineage: Eukaryota; Metazoa; Chordata; Mammalia; Artiodactyla; Bovidae.
GUUCCAAUGAGAAUGAAGACUGAGGUGUGCGCCUUUUUUUUCUCUCUCUCACUUUUUAAAUUUUUUUUAUUUUUUUGAGUCUCAAUCGUGUGGACAUCACUGGGAAUGGAGGGAAAUAACUGACUGAAUGGUCGUUGCUUUUAAGUUUCAAACCGACAUUCCAGGCGGGUUGUGUCUGAGCCAGCCUCGGGCUUUCAGACCUUCACAGCCUGGUCCUGAGAAGGUAGAGCUCUCAGCUUCUCCCUGGUCUGAGCAGCAGAUUGAAGUGCAAAGCCCAUUUUUUGGGAGAGGUUGGACCGGUUGUAUUCAUGAAUCAAGCCAUCCCUCUGUCUGUCUCUGAACCUGUUCUUUCACUUGUUUGGGGGAAUUAAGGAAUAACUGGGAGAUGAAACAGGAAACUUUAUGACACACUUGCUUGAAAAUGACACAGGACUCAGCCCCUCUGCAUCACCUCUACCUGCUGCCCACAGCCGAGUGCGGGGGAAGGGCUGGCCCUGGGACCUGAUUCCAACCGCCGUGGACUCGACGUUCAGUGUGAUGUGUCUGCCAUACUGUGGUCAUGGGCUAGUCUGGUCGGUUUCCUAUGUAGCUGGCCACUCUCAGUGUAUCUUUGCCCCUUUUCCUUCAUUAAAAGCAUAACU